AGAGUUUGAUCAUGGCUCAGGAUGAACGCUGGCUACAGGCUUAACACAUGCAAGUCGAGGGGAAACGACAUCGAAAGCUUGCUUUUGAUGGGCGUCGACCGGCGCACGGGUGAGUAACGCGUAUCCAACCUGCCCAUCACUUGGGGAUAACCUUGCGAAAGUAAGACUAAUACCCAAUGACGUCUCUAGAAGACAUCUGAAAGAGAUUAAAGAUUUAUCGGUGAUGGAUGGGGAUGCGUCUGAUUAGCUUGUUGGCGGGGUAACGGCCACCAAGGCGACGAUCAGUAGGGGUUCUGAGAGGAAGGUCCCCCANAUUGGAACUGAGACACGGUCCAAACUCCUACGGGAAGCA
This 352-nucleotide ribosomal RNA is filed under the name uncultured bacterium. Its description in RNAcentral is "bacterial SSU rRNA". It matches the Rfam family "Bacterial small subunit ribosomal RNA", at positions 8 to 350 of the family's 1533-position model. The record is from RNAcentral.